Carassius auratus (goldfish) is the source of this 265-nucleotide long non-coding RNA. RefSeq lists it as uncharacterized. The transcript is spliced from 3 exons. NCBI's taxonomy places the organism in Eukaryota, Metazoa, Chordata, Actinopteri, Cypriniformes, Cyprinidae. The record is from RefSeq and is a predicted model, not a curated record.
AUGAAAAAACCUGCUAUGAGACGAAGCUGGUGAUGAAAGAUGAUAAAACAUUUUAUUCAACAAUUUUGGGAAAACUUUCCACUACAUUGUUAUCCACAGUGAUCACAGAUGCUCCAACCACAGCUGCUGACAAUACGGCUGGGCAAACUGAAGCCAAGAACAAUGAGAGUGAAACUUAUCUGACAGUAUUAGUGAUGACCACAGUAGUGUCUCUGUGUGUCCUCAUAUCACUGACCAUCUGUGUCAUUCUUUAUUUCCAAAAACA